UAUUCGUAUCGACCCGAGUAGUAGCGAAGCUAACGCGUUAAGCAUCCCGCCUGUGGAGUACGGUCGCAAGACUAAAACAUAAAGGAAUUGACGGGGACCCGCACAAGCGGUGGAGCGUGUUGUUUAAUUCGAUGGUAAGCGAAGAACCUUACCCAGACUUGACAUCCUUGGAAGCACUGCGAAAGCAGAGUGUGCCUCCGGGAACCAAGUGACAGGUGUUGCAUGGCCGUCGUCAGCUCGUGUCGUGAGAUGUUUGGUUAAGUCCAUCAACGAGCGCAACCCUUGUGGCUAGUUGAAUUUUUCUAGUCAGACUGCCCUGGUAACAGGGAGGAAGGAGGGGAUGAUGUCAGGUCAGUAUUACCCUUACGUCUGGGGCUACAAACACGCUACAAUGGCCGGUACAAAGGGCUGCCAAGUCGCGAGACGGAGCAAAUCCCAUCAAAACCGGUCCCAGUUCGGAUUGCAGGCUGAAACUCGCCUGCAUGAAGUCGGAAUCGCUAGUAACGGUAGGUCAGCACACUACCGUGAAUACGUUCCCGGGUCUUGUACACACCGCCCGUCAAACCAUGAAAGUCGCCAAUACCUGACGUCUUAGCUAGUCUAGGCCUAAGGUAGGGGAGAUGAUUGGGGUUAAGUCGUAACAAGGUACC
This 650-nucleotide ribosomal RNA is filed under the name uncultured Candidatus Saccharibacteria bacterium. RNAcentral describes it as "bacterial SSU rRNA". It matches the Rfam family "Bacterial small subunit ribosomal RNA", at positions 824 to 1500 of the family's 1533-position model. Lineage: Bacteria; Candidatus Saccharimonadota. The record is from RNAcentral.